This is a long non-coding RNA of Melanotaenia boesemani (Boeseman's rainbowfish), 130 nucleotides long. RefSeq lists it as uncharacterized. The record is from RefSeq and is a predicted model, not a curated record. Lineage: Eukaryota; Metazoa; Chordata; Actinopteri; Atheriniformes; Melanotaeniidae. The transcript is spliced from 3 exons.
CAGCAACUCCGGAACCACGCACCCCGCAGCAGAUUCCCACAACCCUCUCUCGUGAGGUAAAAAGGAUCCACAAGAGUCUGGAGGAUGGACAAAAGUACAGAGGAAAUGAGAGGUUCACGUCUGAGCACAA